AGCGCAGGCGGGAAAGUAAGUCUAUCUUAAAAGUGCGGGGCUCAACCCCGUCGAGGGGAUAGAAACUAUUUUCUUGAGUGCAGGAGAGGAAAGCGGAAUUCCUAGUGUAGCGGUGAAAUGCGUAGAUAUUAGGAGGAACACCAGUGGCGAAGGCGGCUUUCUGGACUGUAACUGACGCUGAGGCUCGAAAGCCAGGGGAGCGAACG
Molecule: ribosomal RNA, 206 nt
Filed under: uncultured bacterium
Lineage: Bacteria
Description: partial 16S ribosomal RNA
Rfam family: Bacterial small subunit ribosomal RNA
Source: RNAcentral